UACGUAGGGACCGAGCGUUGUCCGGAAUCAUUGGGCGUAAAGAGCGUGUAGGCGGCCAGGUAGGUCUGGUGUGAAAACUCGAGGCUUAACCUUGAGAUGUCAUCGGAAACCAUUUGGCUAGAGUCCGGAAGAGGAAAGUGGAAUUCCUGGUGUAGCGGUGAAAUGCGCAGAUAUCAGGAAGAACACCAAUGGCGAAAGCAGCUUUCUGGGACGGUACUGACGCUGAGACGCGAAAGCGUGGGGAGCGAACAGG
RNAcentral lists this ribosomal RNA (253 nucleotides) under uncultured bacterium. RNAcentral describes it as "partial 16S ribosomal RNA". It matches the Rfam family "Bacterial small subunit ribosomal RNA", at positions 524 to 776 of the family's 1533-position model. The record is from RNAcentral.